RNAcentral lists this ribosomal RNA (465 nucleotides) under uncultured bacterium. RNAcentral's name for it is "partial 16S ribosomal RNA". It matches the Rfam family "Bacterial small subunit ribosomal RNA", at positions 28 to 507 of the family's 1533-position model. The record is from RNAcentral.
GACGAACGCUGGCGGCGUGCUUAACACAUGCCAGUCGAACGGAAAGGCCCCUUUGGGGGUCCUCGCGUGGCGAACGGGUGAGUAACACGUGAGUAACCUGCCCUUGACUUCGGGAUAACUUCAUGAAAGUGGGGCUAAUACCGGAUAGGAAUCCUUGCUGCAUGGUGGGGGUUGGAAAGCUUCGGGGGGUUUGGAUGGACGCGCGGGUUAUCGGCUUGUUGGUGGGGUAGUGGCUUACCAAGGCUGUGGCGGGUAGCCGGCCUGGGAGGGCGACCGGCCACAAUGGGACUGAGAGGAGGCCCAGGCACCGAAGGGAGGGCAAAGGGGGGAAGAUUGCACAAGGGGCGGAAGGCGGAUGCAGCAACGCCGCGGGCGGGAAGACGGCCUUCGGGUUGUAAAACGCAUUCAGCAGGGGCGAAGCUUGUGGUGACGGUACCUGCAGAAGAAGCACCGGCUAACUACGUG